Molecule: ribosomal RNA, 274 nt
Filed under: uncultured bacterium
Lineage: Bacteria
Description: partial 16S ribosomal RNA
Rfam family: Bacterial small subunit ribosomal RNA
Source: RNAcentral
AUACGGAGGGUGCAAGCGUUAUUCGGAAUCACGGGGCGUAAAGGACGCGUAGGCGGGUUGGCAAGUCAGAUGUGAUAUCCUACAGCUUAACUGUAGAACUGCAUUUGAAACUGCCGACCUAGAGUAUGGGAGGGGGAGAUGGAAUUAGUGGUGUAGGGGUAAAAUCCGUAGAUAUCAGUAGGAAUACCGAAAGCGAAGGCGAUCUCCUGGAACAUAACUGACGCUAAGGCGUGAAAGCGUGGGGAGCAAACAGGAUUAGAAACCCUAGUAGUCC